GAAUGGCUGGAAGUGGCAGGGGAAAGCAGGAGAGGGAAGGGAUGAAGGCACAGGUAUAAUAAAUACAUUUGCAGCCUUUCCCAGGACCUGGCUUUAAUUAGGAAGAAGAGCAGCCUGCCAUUAGCAAUGCAUGCUCCAUUCUGCUGGCUUUCUGAUGAGUGCUGUGCUUUCCCAAGCCUUUAAUGUGGGGAGAAAACAAAUAUCAACAGCUCCAGAAGAGCCACUGCUGUGGCCAGCAUGACCUGGGCUCUGCCCUCCAGCCCUGGCCUGCCUCAGCUGAUGGCACCUGGCCAAGGGUAGGAAAUGAGCUCUGGGUGUAUGGGACAGGCCAGCUCAGAGCCAUUUCAGUGUGGGUGCAUCCAGGGAGCUCCGAGGAGGAAAUUCCCCCAUUAGAGAAUUUUAUUUAUUGCUUUUAUUGCUUCUGCUCAGGGCAGGAGCAGAAAGUUUGGCAUAAGGUAGGAGAGAAAUCCUCUCUCUGUGUUAGGGCAGCGACAAAGCUCUCCAGCAAGCAGGGGCUGCUCUUGGGAUGCCUUCAAGUCAAGAGAAGUCUCCGUGCCACUGGCAUGUGGGGACAAUGGCAGUGACACCUGAGAUUGCAUGGAAUUCAUCAUCAGGCACGUGGGUACCCUGGCCACGUGCUGUGACAGGACUCAGAAUCUCUGAGCUGGUUGUUAUCCCCUGGUGUGAGGAAGAAGGAAACUGAGGCAGGACAGGCAAAGAAGUCUCCAAAGUCCCUCAGGAAGCAGCAACAGGGUCCCUGGAGCUGUACAAUGAGUUGAAGUCACACAGCUGCAGACAGUGGCUGCUUCAAAAUACCAACAGCCACCAGGCAAGGACCCAGCUUUGGCAGAAGAUAGGCUUGGAGAAGUCCAGGCUUGAAAAAAAGCAAUUCCUAUGAGUCCUGAAUUCUCCCAUUUUCAUCAGCUUUUUUUCAGGUGUGGGUGUGGGGAUUUCUACACCCAGACAAGCUUAGCCCCAAGGUCUGAGGUGGGGCAGACACCCAGAAGCACAAAUCACAGUCACUGAUGCUGGCAGCUCUGGGCCUUUUGCCUGAAUAUUUGUAUUUCACUCACUUUGGAUGUACAAGAUCUCAUGGGCCAAAGAGUUCAGUUGGGCACAUCCAGCUGUUUGUAUUUCACUGGCACAAAAAAGUGACUUUGUCACCAUGGAGACAGCGAUGAUUUGCGUCUUAAUUAAGCAAUGACAGAUGCCCUACUGAUAAAGGUAAUCUUCAGCUUUGGAUACCCAUCAGCUUCCAGUUCCAGCAUUCCCAUUUAUUACCAGGUGCUUCUGAAAUCAAAAUUUUACCAGGUGAUUAAUACUUUUGCUGUGUUUAUAUUCUGAUGGGAACAAGUAUUUCUCACUGGUGAGAUGGUCAAAUACUUUGGGAUAGAGCAGAGUAGGACUGGCAGGGCAGGGGCCUGUUCUGUAUAUCAUAAACCCUGUUCUGUAUAUCAUAAACCCUGUUCUGUAUAUCAUAAACUCUGUUCUGUAUAUCAUAAACCCCCCUUGCCCAAAGAAGGGGGAUUCAGGGAGGCCCAAACUGAUCAGCAAGAGAAUGGCCAUGGAAAUAUGCAUGACAGUGCACCACCAAGCUCCUCCAAAUGGCUUCAAAGGCUGGAGAGUUGGGCACUCACAGGGCAGGCAAUGUCCAUAAUGGAUUUCCAGCCCUGGCAGCUUUCUUUCCUAUUGCUGGAUGCUGAAAUUUCAUUUUCACCUCCUCUGUGCUGAAGGGACAUUGCUGCUGUGCACAUGGUAUAAAACAGUGCCAGGAGCAAGGGUGUAAGGAGCUGAUCAGGUCAGUGGGCAGUGGAAGGAGCAGAGCAACCCCAGAGAAACUGCCAUCAGAUCCCACUGAUUGGGAGUGCCUGAGGCGUGAGGCUGGAAAAGCCAGCUGAGCUGGAAGAAACAUGAUCCCAACCUGCUUUUGUUCAAUGACCACAGACUGGUUCCAGAGAGCACGUGGUCCAGGGGCAGAUCAGAUCCUCAGAAAUGAGGCUGGUGGAGCAUCUCCUCCUGGUGUAGAGCAUAAACUAAACACUUAGGGACACACAAACCCUCACAACAGGAGGAAACUGAGUCACAGGGAGGGCAGAGGUGGGUUCCUGUCCUUUAGUUGAGAAUUAACUUUUCCUCAAGAGGUGUACAGUGGAGCACCAGAGCUUUCAGAGCCCUUUGGGUUUUAUCCCAUUGCUUGUUUGCUGGCUCUAGAGAAGGAGUGAGCUUAAAUCCAAGCCCAUCACACUUCAGUGGGCUUCAUUCACAUUUCUUUCACAAACACAAGGGCUUUUUGCCAUGUGAAUUUGCUGGCACUUGGCGUGAUCUCAGCACACGUUGCCACUCUCUCUUUGGCAAAGGUCUGCAGUGCAUCUUUCUCCUCUGGCCACCCAUUUUCAUUUAGCCCAACCCAGACAAAAUUACUUAUCUUUACAACUUCUUCUCACCUGCAGAAGCCUGACCAAAAAGCCUCAGGAGGAAUGGUGAAAAUGAGGAUAGGCAGGUGGAGACUGACAACUGUGCAGGUUAUAGGAAAGCCAUACAGGUCAAAAAUUGCUUAAGGAAUUUCAAUCCAAAUGGUUAUUCCUUUGCAGGCAUAUUUUGGGAAUACUGAAUGCAGUGUUCUGUCCUACAAAAGAUGGUACUCCUACAUCAGAGGCAUGGAUUAAGCCAAGCAGAUAACAGAGGUGGGGAAGGAUGAAAGUGCAGCUGAUGACAGGAAAUGGAGCUGCUUCACUGUGGUGAUAUCUCGGCAGAAAGCAGUGAGGGCAUUUCUCCUUCUGCCAUGUAAAACCAGAGUUAGCAGUCAGGUCAGGUUCCUCCCAGGAGGAUUGUUUAGCCUCCUGUUCUCCUUUGAGCUCUGUGGCAUGCUGAGCAUCUCCCACGCUUGAAGGGCAGGAGACCCCCGCCUGAGAACACCAAAAAGUUAAUUGGAAAGAGCAGCCAUGAAAAAGGCCUGACCUUUUCCUGAAUCACAGCCCAGUGCUGAGCAACAGAGGUCAUCCAAUUAAUGGGGAAAAGGAUGCUGGAAGAAAACUUUCAGCCUUGAAGGAGUGAUGUUGUCAGCAGGGCCCCGUCACGGCGCGCUCGCUGUCCAGGCAAGAUCCCUUCUCAAAAAGAAAUCAGAGGUUCCAGCCCUCGGAUGUGGAGGGUUGUCACCAACAAGGACGUGGUUCUGUGAGCUCCAGCAGCAUUGCUAGAGGUUGGCCAUGGUCCCAAAACCCUGCUAAAAUCAUGCUCCUGGCUCUGGAGGUUUUUGCUGUUGGUAAAGCUGAACUCGGUUCCAAGGGAAGCAGCCAGGUAAGAAGAAGAUUUCAGAUUUGGCUGAUUCUCCAUGCUUUGAGAUUUCAGAUUCUCCAUGCUAACAGAAAGAGAGGAGACUGCUUCUGUAUCCCAUUCUCUUCUCAUGUCUAAACCCUAGUAGGUUUCCUGCUCUCCAGGGACUCCAUUAAAUUUAAAAAGAAACUCCUCCCUUGGCACUUUUUAUGGCAUUCCCUGGGUUAUUCUCCAGGCUCCAGCAGACUGAAUGCACAGGAUUCCUUCAAGCUGGUCCAAUGGACCACGUCACCAGCUCAUAUCCACUGGGAUGUCUCUCAUUUCACUGGCUGACAAAGAUGUUCCUCUUUUUUCUGAUGAAGGAAAGCAAUCACUGCUCAGUGCCACAGGUCAUUAGCCAAAAGUGUCACUGCCUUAUGCAAAUAAACUCCCCUCCUUUGGGCUUCAAACCACUGGGAAAUCAUGUCAUUUGGAACAAGGUAGAUUAUUCAGGUGCAUAUUAAAAGCAGGUGAAUUGGGACUCUGAUCUUUCCUCCACACUGACUUUCUGCAUAGAACAUAAACACUUAGAACCAGCCUGAUUCCCAGGCCUGGGCUUGUCUGUCUGUGGGUGUGAUGAGAUCUCUGGUACCCAGGUCAUUCUCCACACUGUACUCAUCAGACAGACUUAAAAAGUCAUGAGAAGUGCAAGGGAGAGAAACAGUUCAACUUUUUCACCUUCUACAACCCCAUUAAAGUGUCAAAAACAAGGCUAAUACAAGGAAAUCAGUCAGGGUGGAUCUAAUUGCAUGUUCUCUGGAUCAGAACAGACUUCUGUUUAGUCAGAGGUUCAAAAGAAAGCAGCCAGAGAAACUAUAAACUCAAAAUAAUGAAAAGAGUUGUUAACUUUAAAGUGAUUUCCCACCAGCCAUUACCAGCCACUCCAGAAAAUAUGAACUCUGGUGUAAAAACCCUCCAAAACUCAUUGGUGCUGACUGACAGCACUCAAGAGGAACACCAGGAAAAGGGUGUAAAAAAAGAAGUAUUUGAUUAACUAAGAGAUGGAAGCAAAUGAGGUAAAUGGACAGGCAGCAGCUGUUCAGGGGGCUGUGGAAAAACCAAACAGCUGGAAUUUCAGAUCACAGAAAAAUCAUUGAAAGAAUACUUCUUGGAGUGCUUUCUCCAAAGAGGUCUGCUAUUCUCUUACCUAUUGUAUUUAAUGUGGUCAUAAAGAGUAAAACUAAUACAUGUAUAACUAAAAAUCAAGCAGGGAUUACCAGAGCAGUACAUCAGAGACAUGUCACAUUUACUACAGCACCUGCUUAGCAAGCUUAAAAUCAAUUUUAAAAAAUGUAAUUUUCACAUAUCUUAAAUAAGUCAUUGAUCACAGCUAUUUGCUUUCUGAAGAAAUACAAGCAGGUGUUACCAAGAGGUUUACUCCCUUUGGCAGGGGUUUUACUUGUUUCUCUAACAGCAGCAUAUGAGCCCUGUGUGAGGAAGGCACGGGGGAUCCUCUCUUCCAUUUUAAGGCAGGAGAGAUAUUUGCAAAUAAAUGCUGUAAUUAAAACUGACAUCUUUUUGCUUGACUGCUAACAGUGACCACAAGGAUGAAAAUGACACCAGUCCCACCAGGGGCAGGGACAGCUCUCGUUGUAGCAGAUUAGGGAGAGCAUUAAGGAGAGAUGAAGUGGCUUGUGAGGUCUUUCCCAGGGAUGCUGGAUGGUUCCUGUGGUCCACAAUGCCAUUCCCAGCAUGAUGACUGGCACUGGUGGAGAGGAGAGCUGCCAGCUCUCAGGGGAGCUUUGUUUGCAAAUAUUCUCCAUGCCUGAGGGGCAGAGAGAAAAACUCUCAGCAAAGGCAGAGAGGGGUGGUGUGACAGUGAGAGGGUGGUGAGGACAGCUGGCUGGUUUAAAGGUUUAAAGGACAGCUGGCUGGUUUAAAGGGACAAACAAAUCAGCAAUUCAAAUACUGCUGGCACAGAAACUCCAUUACCAAACACUCUGCACCCUCUGUGUUCACUGCAGACCUGGGCACAGGGCAAGCACAGAAAAGUCAGAGGCUGCAGAUAGGUGACACCCAGAAUUUCCAGGAGCGCCUCUGGGCACUCACCUUCCUUCACAGCUUCCCAAGGGCUGCAUAAACUUCACCCAGACCGGGUUCCUGGGGCCAAGGGGGUGACAGGGCACAGCAGAGGAGUCCUGUGGAAACCUGGGGGCUCUGGAGAUGGGGGAACCCCAGAGAAGGUGACACCAAGAUGUGAUGGGUGCUGAGGGUGCCUGGGACAUUCAAUUUUACUAUCCACCAGUGUACUCUCCCCUCUGGGAGGAGUUCUGCCAGGAGGGGCAAGGUGGGGCCCUCAGGUGACCCUGUGUGUGGCCCUGGUGUCCAGGAGCAUCCCCAGCAUCCUGCCUAGAGCUCCUCUCCUUCUCCAAACACGGAGCCUGAGACUCUGCCCUUGGCAGCCACAUUGCUGCUCAUUUCUGGAGGAAUUUAAAAAAAAAAACUAUGUGGCAAUUUCACAACCCUGUGACACCAAUCAGGACCCAUAAGCAGCUUCCUGAAACAUCACCCUUGGUAGCUAUGCUGUGUCUUGCUGGCAAUUAGAUGCCAAUGAUUAAUAAGGUGUGGCUGAUUCGGUGUCUCUGACUUUGUGGUUUUGUUUUGUUUUUUUUCUCUUCUCCUCUUGUUGCCUCUUGAAGUGUAAAUUUAGCUAAUUUAUUCUGGCCAGCACAGCAGCAUAAGAGCUUGGGUGUAACUUCCAUUUUUUCCUGAAAGGAGGCUCAGGUGGCUCGAAUCCAACACCACCUAUUAAACAACCAGGUCCUUCUGCUUCAACUUCUGCUUGAGCUUUGUGAGUGCCACCUAUCACUUGGUAUGCAAUUGUGUGCUCUUCCUUUUGUCUGAAAUGAAACAUAGAGUUUAAAUCCUAUUUGCAUACAGCCAGCUCUAUGAAUGGCACCCUAGAAACUGGUGUGGGCCACUCCAUGAGUAAAACAACAGGAAUGCAGUCAGCACCAGCCCACAGCUUGUAAAAAUCACAUUUCAUUAUCUCUAAAAAAUUAGCUAAAAGUGCCUUAAAAUACACACUCAGCAGAGGGCUGAUCAAAACAACUUAAUUAGAGACAUGAGGCUAUUUACACUGACUUUUGCUUAUUUUAAUUUAGCCUUAAUUUUCAUGUUCGAGAGUAACCAAGCUAAACAAAACUCACGUGGCUUCAUGGAAAGUCAUGUCAUGAACAAAAGCAGCUCUCACCCUGUGCAGGAAAAGGAGACGGGUGGUACAUGGCA
This is a long non-coding RNA of Passer domesticus (house sparrow), 6540 nucleotides long. RefSeq lists it as uncharacterized. The record is from RefSeq and is a predicted model, not a curated record. The transcript has 3 exons. Lineage: Eukaryota; Metazoa; Chordata; Aves; Passeriformes; Passeridae.